UGUAACAAUAAGUAACUGACAUAUUGAUCAUCGUCUUUCCCACUCACUGCAGGUGUCAUCUCCCUGCUGGAGGACCUUUUCUAUCUUCAGGCUGAUUCUGAUGCUGUUCCUCUGUGCUCCCAGAGCAUCCCAGCCUCUGCACUGACACUUAUUACAGCACAGCAAUGGUGGCUUAUUUGUCUUCUUUUGGAUAUGUGGGAUUCUUGAGAGUAAUGAACUGUCUUCACAGAAUCCCCAGUAUCUGCCAAGGUGCCUGGGCAAUGAUGUCAAAUAUUAUGUCCCAGCAACAAGAAGAGUGGUGAAGACAGGUACCCUGCAUGGAUCGCACCAGGGUUGACAGACAGUAGGCAGGGUCUGCCUGGAUUUCAUGUAGGAGCCAAGAAGCACCAUUCAGCUUAGCACAGGGAAAGAAAAUAAUUGCUCUGCUUGUUCUCUAUUGAGUCCAACUCAUUUAAUGAAACAACAACUCAGUAAUAAGAAAGUAGAGCCUGUAACCUCCAUCUAGAUGGUCUGAGAUGUGCAAUACAAUUUGGUGGUAGCACUGGGAGCAAGAUUUUUUCACUUAGAAGUUCUUAUACAUUAGGAAACCCAGCCCUGGAGAGGCAGCCUUUUAAUUAUCCCUUCUUUUAGUUUUACCCCCUAUGCUUUGGCUAUCCAUCAUCUUGAAAAAUAGAUGCCAUAACACCAGGAUGAAUUCCUCUGCCACUUUUAGCAAAGAACUGAACACAUGGACGUGAUAGACAUAGGAAUUAUUUGGCAAAGACUGAAGCCAAGGAGUGAGAAAGAAACAGCCGCACCAGGAGAUGGACCCUACCACAGGGAGAUUCCCACCCAUUUCGUUCAGCACUUCCAGAUGGGCGAGAGCAGGUGGGCAAACUCAGGAAGCACUUGCAGGGGCUCCUGUGGACCCUGAAAGGCUGGAGUAAGCAGAGGAAGAAGGAAGGAAGAGGAGCAGUGGGGAUCU
Long non-coding RNA from Chinchilla lanigera (long-tailed chinchilla), 964 nucleotides. RefSeq lists it as uncharacterized. The record is from RefSeq and is a predicted model, not a curated record. Lineage: Eukaryota; Metazoa; Chordata; Mammalia; Rodentia; Chinchillidae. The transcript has 3 exons.